UAGGGAAUCUUCGGCAAUGGACGGAAGUCUGACCGAGCAACGCCGCGUGAGUGAAGAAGGUUUUCGGACCGUAAAGCUCUGUUGUAAGAGAAGAACGAGUGUGAGAGUGGAAAGUUCACACUGUGACGGUAUCUUACCAGAAAGGGACGGCUAACUACGUGCCAGCAGCCGCGGUAAUACGUAGGUCCCGAGCGUUGUCCGGAUUUAUUGGGCGUAAAGCGAGCGCAGGCGGUUAGAUAAGUCUGAAGUUAAAGGCUGUGGCUUAACCAUAGUACGCUUUGGAAACUGUUUAACUUGAGUGCAAGAGGGGAGAGUGGAAUUCCAUGUGUAGCGGUGAAAUGCGUAGAUAUAUGGAGGAACACCGGUGGCGAAAGCGGCUCUCUGGCUUGUAACUGACGCUGAGGCUCGAAAGCGUGGGGAGCAAACAGGAUUAGAUACCCUGGUAGUCCACGCCGUAAACGAUGAGUGCUAGGUGUUAGACCCUCUCCGGGGUUUAGUGCCGUAGCUAACGCAUUAAGCACUCCGCCUGGGGAGUACGACCGCAAGGUUG
Molecule: ribosomal RNA, 550 nt
Filed under: uncultured bacterium
Lineage: Bacteria
Description: bacterial SSU rRNA
Rfam family: Bacterial small subunit ribosomal RNA
Source: RNAcentral